RNAcentral lists this long non-coding RNA (1002 nucleotides) under Homo sapiens (human). RNAcentral's name for it is "HSALNT0300411". The record is from RNAcentral. Lineage: Eukaryota; Metazoa; Chordata; Mammalia; Primates; Hominidae.
UCCUUCCCGAGCUGCCGUCUUUCCCAGGGUCCGCUCACUGAGUCCCCACAUGCCCAGCGUCGGACCUGACCCUCGGACAGGCGCGGCCCCAGACGCCGGGGACAGGGCAGUCAACAGAACAGACACAACUCCUCGCCUUCCUAGUUGGGGCUCUGUUUUCCUGUGUCUUCCGUGACACUGUCUUGAGCGUGCUUGCUUAUGAAGGUUUGACACCCGUCCCCACCAUACCUGCCUGCCACUGCCAGGAUGACUGGAGUCUCAGGUGGCUUUGUGCCAAUGGAGGGAAAAAGAAAGAUAACAAGGAACUAGACACUGUGGGUGAACUCCUGGCCUCCUGCUGCGAGGCGCCUGAGGACCCUGGGCUCUCCCUCCUCGGUUUGGGCUUCAGAGGACCCUGGGCUCUCCCUCCUCGGUUUGGGCUUCAGAAGGUGGCUCCACUUCUGGGUGGCAGUGACAGGCAGACCUGCUGAGAGCCCAGAGAGAAAUACUACCCUGCAGGGAGAUAAGGUCAUCAACCUGCCACCACUGGUAUAUUCCCAUAAUAAUGUCCACUGGUCCCAGUCGAGAGGCACCCACUCCUUUUCCUCUUGUCUAACACAGGAGUCUCGAGCUGCCUAAAGAAACCCAUUUUUGGGAAGAGGAUUAAAAACAAACAAACAAACAACAAAACUGUGCUCCAAAUGUAUAUAACCCUGUAGAUUAAUGAAACAUUUGGGCCAAAGUUCUGUAUUCUCAUAGGCAAAGACUCUCAUAGUAUUAAUAUAUUCACUGAUUUUAAAUUAUUUUUAACUUAAAGGUUUUGUUUUAAUCUGCUGUGAUGAAAUCUUGGAUCACUAUAGCUGUAAAUGAGUAGAUUUAUCUAGAUAUGUUAAAUGAACAAAUGUAAAAUGUUCGAUACAGCACAGGUGCUUAAUAAGUUGGCUUCAGAGCCGUGUUUUUCCAACAUGUUCUGAUGAUCCAAGUUUGAUACUUAAGACAAUUAAAAACAAGAAAUUUAACUUA